UCCGAAUUGGUGUAGCGACUAACAUUUGACGCUCUCAUCCGCCUUCUUGCCAACCUUACCUAAGGUUAAGAAGUGGUAUUGGUGUGUCAAGCCCGGGGUUCGAUUCCCCGAUUCGGAG
Xylaria acuta is the source of this 118-nucleotide non-coding RNA. Lineage: Eukaryota; Fungi; Ascomycota; Sordariomycetes; Xylariales; Xylariaceae. The record is from the annotation of a GenBank genome assembly.